RNAcentral lists this ribosomal RNA (327 nucleotides) under Fusarium incarnatum. RNAcentral describes it as "eukaryotic LSU rRNA". The stretch from base 1 to 114 matches the Rfam family "5.8S ribosomal RNA", at positions 41 to 154 of the family's 154-position model. Lineage: Eukaryota; Fungi; Ascomycota; Sordariomycetes; Hypocreales; Nectriaceae. The record is from RNAcentral.
GAACGCAGCAAAAUGCGAUAAGUAAUGUGAAUUGCAGAAUUCAGUGAAUCAUCGAAUCUUUGAACGCACAUUGCGCCCGCCAGUAUUCUGGCGGGCAUGCCUGUUCGAGCGUCAUUUCAACCCUCAAGCUCAGCUUGGUGUUGGGACUCGCGGUAACCCGCGUUCCCCAAAUCGAUUGGCGGUCACGUCGAGCUUCCAUAGCGUAGUAAUCAUACACCUCGUUACUGGUAAUCGUCGCGGCCACGCCGUUAAACCCCAACUUCUGAAUGUUGACCUCGGAUCAGGUAGGAAUACCCGCUGAACUUAAGCAUAUCAAUAAGCGGAGGA